Molecule: ribosomal RNA, 427 nt
Filed under: uncultured bacterium
Lineage: Bacteria
Description: bacterial SSU rRNA
Rfam family: Bacterial small subunit ribosomal RNA
Source: RNAcentral
UGGGGAAUUUUGGACAAUGGGCGAAAGCCUGAUCCAGCAAUGCCGCGUGUGCGAAGAAGGCCUUCGGGUUGUAAAGCACUUUUGUCCGGAAAGAAAUCCGCCUGGCCAAUACCCGGGCGGGAUGACGGUACCGGAAGAAUAAGCACCGGCUAACUACGUGCCAGCAGCCGCGGUAAUACGUAGGGUGCGAGCGUUAAUCGGAAUUACUGGGCGUAAAGCGUGCGCAGGCGGCUUUGUAAGACAGAUGUGAAAUCCCCGGGCUCAACCUGGGAACUGCAUUUGUGACUGCAAGGCUAGAGUGCGUCAGAGGUCGGUGUAAUUCCGCGUGUAGCAGUGAAAUGCGUAGAGAUGCGGAGGAACACCGAUGGCGAAGGCAGCCUCCUGGGAUGACACUGACGCUCAUGCACGAAAGCGUGGGGAGCAAACA